GUGCUUGACGCGACACGUUAUAAUGUUCGACAUUUGUGCAAGGGUAUUUCAAUAUCCAUUGAUAUGACAAAGAGAGAAAAUUUAACUUCGACGUUCUGUGAUAUUGAUGUAUGCCGCCUUUCCAUGGGCAUGAAAACAAUCGAGCCUUUAAUAACAAAGGCACUCAAACAUAUGAUACAAAAAAAGUUAAAUGAACUAUCAUGGAUAAUUUUGCAGUCAAAGGGCAGUAACUGAGUAAAUGCUAAACUCAACGUUAAUAAGAGUUGUCUAACUAGUUAAACAAGCUUUAUUUGACUAGAGAGUGGCCUCACAUUAUUUGUACGAUUUGACCUGGUGAUUGAAAGCACGUCGACUCCGGUCCAGAUAUUAUCUAGGUUGCAUUGAUGGCACACACGUCCGCAUACUGUCUCCAGGCUCCCCUGCUGAGAGAGACUAUGCUAACCGGAAAAACUUCCAUAGCAUCAAUGUGCAAGUGACAUGUAACAGCCGAGGUCUUAUCACCAGCACCAAUGCAGCAUGGCCGGGAGCUGCACACGAUGCCCAUGUCUUAAGAAGUUCAGCGAUAGGAACGUAUUUAGAUCGGCAUCACCGAAGUUUGGAAAAUGGUGUUCUUCUUGGGGACAGUGGGUAUCCCUGUCGCACGUUCCUGCUGACACCGUAUCUAAACGCUACUAACGCUGUCCAAGAACGGUACAAUGACAGUCACAGCAAGACACGAUGCUGCACUGAGCGCCCCUUUGGUGUUUGGAAGAGACGCUUUCAUAUCCUUCACGCUGAGGUAUGGGCGAUUUGUAGUUUACUGUAUGCUUACAUAUUUUAUUCAAUACACAUAAUGGUACUGAC
Dreissena polymorpha is the source of this 843-nucleotide long non-coding RNA. RefSeq lists it as uncharacterized. The transcript has 4 exons. The record is from RefSeq and is a predicted model, not a curated record. NCBI's taxonomy places the organism in Eukaryota, Metazoa, Mollusca, Bivalvia, Myida, Dreissenidae.